This 253-nucleotide ribosomal RNA is filed under the name uncultured bacterium. RNAcentral describes it as "partial 16S ribosomal RNA". It matches the Rfam family "Bacterial small subunit ribosomal RNA", at positions 524 to 776 of the family's 1533-position model. The record is from RNAcentral.
UACGUAGGGUGCGAGCGUUAAUCGGAAUUACUGGGCGUAAAGCGUGGGCAGGCGGUUUUGUAAGCCAGAUGUGAAAUCCCCGGGCUUAACCUGGGAAUGGCAUUUGGGACUGCAAGGCUGGAGUGCGGCAGAGGAGACUGGAAUUCCUGGUGUAGCAGUGAAAUGCGUAGAUAUGCGGAGGAACACCGAUGGCGAAGGCAAUCCCCUGGGCCUGCACUGACGCUCAUGCACGAAAGCGUGGGGAGCAAACAGG